This is a transfer RNA of Camelus ferus (Wild Bactrian camel), 73 nucleotides long. It matches the Rfam family "tRNA". Rfam says of the family: Transfer RNA (tRNA) molecules are approximately 80 nucleotides in length. Their secondary structure includes four short double-helical elements and three loops (D, anti-codon, and T loops). The record is from Rfam. Lineage: Eukaryota; Metazoa; Chordata; Mammalia; Artiodactyla; Camelidae.
GAGGGUGUAGCUCAAGUGGUAGAGCGCAUGCUUAGCAUGCAUGAGGUCCUGAGUUCAAUCCCCAGUACCUCCU